This 825-nucleotide long non-coding RNA is filed under the name Pan troglodytes (chimpanzee). RNAcentral describes it as "long non-coding RNA NONPTRT000306". The record is from RNAcentral. Lineage: Eukaryota; Metazoa; Chordata; Mammalia; Primates; Hominidae.
CACAGGGUUGCUGUAAGAAUCAAGCGAGAUGUCUGAGGAAUAGUCUUAGUGGAUUAUCCCAAACUUGACACAUUUUUUGCAAAAUGCUAUACAAAAAGAAGAUACAUGCGAUUAUGACAAGAUUCUCCACUUGGUGUGACCAGUCUCAUACAACCCAAGGCUGUGUGUCCAAAGGCAACUGCACUGUGAGUUUCACAUUUCCAAAGUUUUAGAUGACAUGUACAAUCUGAUUAGCCUUUAAAUCUCAUACCCUCUGCAGGUAUUGGAAAAUACAAGGAUGUCAUAAGUAUCUAUAUUUAUAUUUAAAAUGUGCUUAUAUUUAUAUAAAUAUAUAAAUAAAAAUAUGCAAAUAGUUGUCUAUGAAGCUAGCAAUGUGAUUAUAUGCUUUUCUUUUUCCUAGGUAGUCUGGGACUGGAAACAAAUUGGGAACAUUUUUCAUUGCAUAUUUGGCUCAGAUCUGCCACUUAGUUGAAGUAUAAUCUUCAGCAAGUGACUCAAAAUUUCUGAAUCUCGUUUUCACCAUCAAUACAUGACAAUAAUAUUUUCUCCUUUAAGUAUUUGAAAGUUUUGAGAAAGCCACAAUAGCAACACUUGCAAAAGUGCUCCAUUGUAAAAUGCAAGGGAGAGGUAGUUGUGACCCUUUGGGGAAAACUAUAGUUGCCACAAUUGUCUCUGAAGUGAAGCAUGUUUCUUAGACUGAAGGAAAGCCCUGGGAGAGAUUGGUCUAGCUUUAGGAUGACUGUGGGUAGAGCUUCUAGGGAGAAGAAUGAAACGUAUUCCUCUUCCUUCUUUCUAGGAAUACUGGAAAGCAUUUAUUUGUUUGCU